Molecule: ribosomal RNA, 492 nt
Filed under: uncultured bacterium
Lineage: Bacteria
Description: partial 16S ribosomal RNA
Rfam family: Bacterial small subunit ribosomal RNA
Source: RNAcentral
AGUGAACGCUGGCGGUAGGCCUAACACAUGCAAGUCGAACGGCAGCACAGUAAGAGCUUGCUCUUCCGGGUGGCGAGUGGCGGACGGGUGAGGAAUAUAUCGGAAUCUACUUUUUCGUGGGGGAUAACGUAGGGGAACUUGCGCUCAUACCGCAUACGACCUACGGGUGAAAGCAGGGGAUCUUCGGACCUUGCGCGAUUGAAUGAGCCGAUGUCGGAUUAGCUAGUUGGCGGGGUAAAGGCCCACCCAGGCGCCGAUCCGUAGCUGGUCUGAGAGGAUGAUCGGCCGCACGGGAACUGAGACACGGUCCAGACGCCUACGGGAGGCAGCAGUGGGGAAUAUUGGACAAUGGGCGCAAGCCUGAUCCAGCCAUACCGCGUGGGUGAAGAAGGCCUUCGGGUUGUAAAGCCCGUUUGUUGGGAAAGAAAAGCAGCAGGUUAAUACCCCGCUGUUCUGACGGUACCCAAAGAAUAAGCACCGGCUAACUUCGUG